This 1572-nucleotide long non-coding RNA is filed under the name Monodelphis domestica (gray short-tailed opossum). RNAcentral describes it as "lncRNA (ENSMODG00000047711.1)". Lineage: Eukaryota; Metazoa; Chordata; Mammalia; Didelphimorphia; Didelphidae. The record is from RNAcentral.
UGAGAGUGAAUCAGAUUUAAGUGAGGCACAAAUGCACACAGUCCCAUCUCACUCUUUCUUCUAGAGUCAUCAAAGUCCAGUGGCAAGACAAAAGUCAGGACAGUAGCCAAUGACCGAGGAUGCAGUGGACAACCUUAGUAUUUCUGAUGUUCAACCAAGCUCUGAACCGCACCCCCCCCCCAGUACCUGCUUCAUCUUCCUUCAUGGUUGUUUGAAUAUAUUGUUCUCAUCCAACCAUUCCACUGAGGGAAAUCUUUACAUGUUUGGUGUAGACAUCCCUUCAACUCACCAACAGAAUUGUAGCCUGAUGCUUACCCUCAACCUUCAUGGAGCCCCAGAACACUUGGAUCAAUGCACAGCUUGACCAGCUGUGAAUGUCUUUCUUCAGCCUAUCCAACAUCAGACUUGCAAUGGUGAAGCUCAGAUCUUAGGCACAAAAUGGGGUCUUUCCCCUUAGAGCACUUAGCCCAGCCUGGAGUGGAAUGAUCAAGGUGGGAAUGCCAGAGCAAAGAAGAUUCUACAAUUGGAUGGACUGAAGGCUAGUAGCAAUCUAAUGGUGUUCAGUCCCAAACUCACUUAGGAACUUUUAGAGCUCCAACUAGGGUGUAGCAAUCAGACUUCAAUCUGAAUCAAACCACUUUAGAAGCACUGAAAGCUUACAGGUCCUCAGUCUGUCCUUGUCAUCCCUGAAUAAGACAACAUGUAAUACCUCAAGAAAACAGUAGCAGGACCAAACCUGACUUUCCCUAUGUAAAGAUUAAAAUUUAGGGGAGAACUGAGGCAGGUAGAAAUUAGUUUCUCUCUGCAAGGAGUAUUAUAUUUUUUAGAGGUUUAUUAAAGGUUAAAGAUUAAAGAAUAUACAAGUAAGAAACAUGUGCCUAGGCCAGAGGCCUAGACAAAAUAACCUCACAUCACGCAAGAGACGCGCCUGCUCCAAAACGGAAGUCCAAAAAGAGCCAAGAGAGACCCUCAAAAGCCUUUGAAUCAGCUUAAAUACCUUCUCGAUCUUGGCCCAGGUGAGAUUACAAGGCAUUCUGGGGAAGUGGAGCAAAGGCUCAUGGGGAUUGUAGUCCUGUAUUCGAGUCUAUUUUUUACACCUACAAAAGUACUAGAGAGCUCAGCCCUAAAGUCAAGUUAGAAUUCAGGAAGAAGGCUAGAAAAAUGGACCCCCCAAAAGAAUCCCCCUAUGAUAUGUGAUUAUGGAGGUAGGGACAUCAAGACAUAAACAGAGAAGAGAGAAGAUCCCCAAACAUCUCUAAGCAUUGCCUCAUGAAAAAACACAGCUUGGGCACAAACUCAACUAGAAUUCAUGAUAGAGAUGAGAAGAUUAAAACACAAACAGUUAAAUAUAUAUAUAUAUAUAUAUAUAUAAUAAGCACUUAAGUAAAAAAUAGAAGAGAAAUGUAAGCUAUAGAAGAAAGUAUGGUAAAGGGAAUAACAGCUUAAAACAAGAGGUACAAAAUUUUGCCCAAGCAACAAACACCCUGAAAAUGAGAAUGGACCAAAUAGAAACCAGUGACUCUAUGGGGUAAUGAGAUAUUAAAAUAAAAAAAAGUUUUUAUUUCCCUACCA